This 231-nucleotide long non-coding RNA is filed under the name Lathyrus oleraceus (garden pea). RNAcentral's name for it is "Pisum sativum (pea) long non-coding RNA (PSAT_LNC036214)". The record is from RNAcentral. Lineage: Eukaryota; Viridiplantae; Streptophyta; Magnoliopsida; Fabales; Fabaceae.
CAAACAAAAGGGAAAACAAGUGGUUUAGGUUCAGAGCCAAUGUCAUUAUUUCUUUUGACUGUGUUCGUUCAUUUUAACUUAUUUUCUUUUUCAAUUUGCAUUGCUCAGUUUUUUUUCUUUGAUCUUCUCUUUUUUUUCAACUGAGUGCUCUUCCUUCGGUGAAUGCUUCUUUCGAACCAUCGACUAUAUUUUCUUUCGUUUUCUUCUCUCUUUUUUUAUGGUCGUUUUUCU